ACUGGCCUAGUUCAAGGUUCUGUACAGCAGGACAGGCUGAAGAGCUCACUGCUCUCAGGAUUGCGUGAAGUUCAUGUUGCUGGUGCCAGCUUUAAACUCUACUUCAACAGCACAUCAGUCCCUGCAGAAUCCCUACAAUGUGGAAACAGGCCAUUCAGCCCAUCAAGGCCACAUUGAUACUCUGAAGAGCAUCCCACCUUUGGUACAGGGUAGGUGUAUACCUGUAACCCUGCAUUUUCCAAGGCUAAUCCACUUCGCCAGCAUGUCCCUAAGCUCUAAGCUCUACAGAGCAAUUUAGCAUGGCCAAUCCACCUAACCUGCACAUCUUUGGACUGGGAGGAAACCAGACCACCAGGAGGAAACCAAAGCAGACAUGAAGAGAAUAUGCCAAUACCACACAAACAGCUGCCCGACGAUGGAAUUGAACCCACAUACCUGGCGCUAAGGCAACAGUGCUAACUGCUGAGGCAUUGUGCUACCCCAAUUACAAAAGUUACAUAUAGUUACAAAAGUCUGAGAAGCAAUAAUACAGCAAUUAUUCAGGAUCCUGACUCCUUCAAUUAUGAACAUGCCAGGAUCAAGGAGACUAUUUCCGAUAGUGUUCAGAGUCUAUGCAACAGGUCCACAACUGUAAUCCAUGUUAAAAUGCUUAACAUCUGUAUAUAAUAACUGGUCACCAGUAUGGCUGAAACCGUGAGGUAGUAUGAUGACUCACAGAUAAGAACUUACUGCAACCUUGUCGCACAGUAACUUGUCAUUACUCAGUAAGAUGCAUUUCAAUG
Molecule: long non-coding RNA, 782 nt
Organism: Hemiscyllium ocellatum (epaulette shark)
Lineage: Eukaryota; Metazoa; Chordata; Chondrichthyes; Orectolobiformes; Hemiscylliidae
Exons: 3
Source: RefSeq, a predicted model, not a curated record